AUAUGAUCACCGGCCGCAUGGUCUGGUGGUGGAAAGCUCCGGCGGUGCAGGAUGAGCCCGCGGCCUAUCAGCUUGUUGGUGGGGUGAUGGCCUACCAAGGCGACGACGGGUAGCCGGCCUGAGAGGGCGACCGGCCACACUGGGACUGAGACACGGCCCAGACUCCUACGGGAGGCAGCAGUGGGGAAUAUUGCACAAUGGGCGAAAGCCAGAUGCAGCGACGCCGCGUGAGGGAUGACGGCCUUCGGGUUGUAAACCUCUUUCAGCAGGGAAGAAGCGAAAGUGACGGUACCUGCAGAAGAAGCACCGGCUAACUACGUGCCAGCAGCCGCGGUAAUACGUAGGGUGCGAGCGUUGUCCGGAAUUAUUGGGCGUAAAGAGCUCGUAGGCGGCUUGUCACGUCGGAUGUGAAAGCCCGGGGCUUAACCCCGGGUCUGCAUUCGAUACGGGCAGGCUAGAGUUCGGUAGGGGAGAUCGGAAUUCCUGGUGUAGCGGUGAAAUGCGCAGAUAUCAGGAGGAACACCGGUGGCGAAGGCGGAUCUCUGGGCCGAUACUGACGCUGAGGAGCGAAAGCGUGGGGAGCGAACAGGAUUAGAUACCCUGGUAGUCCACGCCGUAAACGUUGGGCACUAGGUGUGGGCGACAUUCCACGUUGUCCGUGCCCAGCUAACGCAUUAGUGCCCCGCCUGGGGAGACGGCCGCAAGGUUAACUCAAGGAAUUGCGGGGGGCCGCCAAGCGCAGAGCUGUGGCUUAUUCGACGCACGCCAAGAACUUACCAGGCUUGAAUACACCGGAACAUCUGGGACAGUGCCCCUUGUGUCCGUGUACGGUGGUGCAGGCUGUCUCAGUCUUGCCGGGGAGGUCGGUUAAGUCCGCAUGAGCGAACCUUAUCUGUGUUGCAGCUGGCCUUUAGGGACGGGACUCCGGGAGAUGCCGGGCCACUCGAAGAAGGUGGGAGACUCAAGUACAUGCCCUUAGCUUGGGUUCCCCGU
Molecule: ribosomal RNA, 993 nt
Filed under: uncultured Streptomyces sp.
Lineage: Bacteria; Bacillati; Actinomycetota; Actinomycetes; Kitasatosporales; Streptomycetaceae
Description: bacterial SSU rRNA
Rfam family: Bacterial small subunit ribosomal RNA
Source: RNAcentral